RNAcentral lists this long non-coding RNA (5057 nucleotides) under Sus scrofa (pig). RNAcentral describes it as "lncRNA (ENSSSCG00000060631.1)". The record is from RNAcentral. Lineage: Eukaryota; Metazoa; Chordata; Mammalia; Artiodactyla; Suidae.
UGGAGUAUAAAGCAGAAGUGUUUGCUUGUUGCUUUGGAAACUUUCUGUGGUUGUUCAGAAUGGCACCAAGUCACUGCCGGGUUAAUAGAGCUGCUUUAAAUAUAACCAUAUUUUAUUAAAGCUAUGACAAAUACAUUGGGGUUUUAUCACUUGUGAUGAAUGUUUCAUUUCAUUGAGAUCAAUUCUAAUUCUGGAAAUUAAAUGUUCACCCAAGAAAGGAACAUGACAUCUUUCUCAACCUCAAAAAAAAAAAAAAAAAGGAAAAGAAAUUUUGUUCCAUAAGAGAGGAAAUCUUCCUAGUCCUGGUUUCCCAGAGGCCUACUGGUCAUUUUAGGAACAAGGAGCUAAGUUCUUUUUCCAUUCUUUUUAAAAAUCUCUGCAGCUUCUGCCCCAUACUCUAAUCAUCUAAGUGGCUUGGCUUCAGAAUGAUGGAAUUCUAGAACAUUGGUAUCUGCUUGGCCCAAUCUCUUCACUUUAUAGAUGAGAAAUACAAAGUGACUUGACCAAGGCCAUUAGCUAUUUAAUGGGAGAAAUGAGACUUAAAACCUAUUUCUGGGAUCUUUUAUUACUAGUUUUUUUUAAUUCUUGUAAAUUCUUUUUAAAGCACAUUCUCUUUAUAAACCACCAGUUCUAGAGAGCAGGAAAAAUAAUGUUACCAUUAGGAAGAAGCAAAUAGAGACCAUGUGAGGUCAAGAGAUUCCCAGUAGCAGAACCUAUAAUAGCAAUAUAUGCAUAGAGUGAGAGAAGCCUGCAUGCAAAUCAUCAUCAAUUUGGGCUGCAAAUGUGCCUUUUUAGGAUCACCCCAGACUGAGACAAUCACUGACUGUUGAAGUCUCCCCUUCCCGUGCCUCUGCCUUAGAGCCAUUACCUGAUCAUCACCUGUAAUAGUGACGAUAUUAUUCUUGACUAUCUCUGCUGCAGUGUCUGCCUGCUUUUUGCUGUAAUGUUUCAGCUUUUAGGUUUCAGCACUGAUGAAAUAAGAGAGAGGCAAACAUUAGAUCUGCUCCUUUGGAACAGUUGCUCUCCUAUGUCCAGACAGUCUUUAUAAAUACUAAGCAAGGACAGUCGAAAAGAUUACAUGGGAAAAGGGAUCACUCGUGAUCCUCAGACCUCAGAACGUACAAAUCGCUUGGUGUUUCACUGGAACAUAAAGCUAUUUCAUGACAUGUCUGCUUGUUCUGGCUCUGUGUCUGAGAUAACUCCCUGAGGAUGCCCUCUGCUUUCACUGUGUUAUGUGGGCUGCUGCAGAAGCCUGGGUGUGUUGAAGCACUCCCGGCAGGCAGAAGUGUGUGAGGAAUGUUCUGACACAGUCAUAGUCCUCAUCUCUCAAGCUUCUAAAAGUCGUGAUUACUGUCAUUGUCUCUCCUUUUAGGUAACGUGUACUGAUUAAGGCCCAAGCAUUUCAUGUAGUUUCCUUCCUUCCUUCCUCCCUUCCUUCCUUCUUUCUUUCCUUCCUCCCUCCCUUUGAAAGCUUACAACUCCAAAGUUAAAGGGAAGCUCAGAAAGAGAGCUUGGCCACAUUCCCACAAGCAGACUUAUGUUAGAUACGAGAUGACCAUUCCUCCCAGUUGCCCUCAAUAAUUAUCAAAAGAUCUUCACUGUACAGUCCAGAUUUGGUCAAAUAGUAUAUGGUCAUCCCACUUCAUUAGCACCAGAAUUGAUCUGAAGCAAAAUUGUGAAGUGGGAGAAGCUUAUCUUUGGCCCCUUCUUGUAUCACCUGUCCCCAGGAGAAAUGUUCCUGGGAACAUAAUUUUCUCCUCCGCCUCUUUGAACCUCACUUAUUCUGUUUCGGCUGGUUAUUAACUUGUUGCUGGUAAAUGCUGGUGCACCAAGAUUCCUGUUGGCCUUCUUUAUCCACAAACCAGCCAAGAGUUCUCUGCCAUUUUGUUCCACAAACCUCAAUCCAGCCAAUGCUUUCUCAUUCGGCACCAUUGAGAAUGAGGUGAGACAGUCUAUGUUUCUGUUUUUCCUACAAAAUUAUGAAAUUGUGAAGAGCCAGGAUAGUGUUUUGUUAAUGCAUUCUCAGUACCUAGCAGUGUGCCUGGAAAAAAAAUAGUCUGUGAAAGCUUAGCAAUCUAAGAUUUUCUGCUCCUGUCCUUUGAUCUCUCAAUUCCUGGAACUUUCUGAUUGCUGACUCCUUUCUAGGACUUUUCGUCAUCAACUUUGUUUUUCCUUUCAGCUUCUGAAGGUUCUCUGACUUCCCCACUAUACACUGAGUCUUCCAUUUUACUGUAUUUCCUGAUAUUUAUAUUGUCAUGAUGUGUGUCUUUCUUCAUUGUUUUAAAUCUAGUGUAACCUGCCUUUCUAGCAGUUACACCUCAAAUUUAGUCAAGAUGAUCAUAGCUUGUGCUUGGCCUGCUUUGUUUUCUGCUAUCUGUCCAAAAGCUAAUCACCCUUUUUUUCUAUUUGUAAAAUCUGAUCUUGGAUGAGUUGGAAAGCAUGGGUUUGAACUCUAACUUUGUAUCCUUCUAGCUGCCUGACCUGUAACUUAGCCUCUUUGAACUCACAUUCCCUAUCGAUGAAAAAUAGGUAAUAACAAUACCUUCUACUCUAGAAUGAAUGAGAUAAUAUAUGUAGAAGAAAUUUGCUGAUCAACAUGAAGCUGUUUCUGCUAUGUCCAAAAUUAGUGCUUUGCACCAGUUGACAAGAGGUUCUUUAAACACAAAAAUUCUCUUCAAACUCUAAUAACAAACUCUCCUAAGGCAAGGAGUGAAAACAUUAAGAUUUGGCAUAUCACCUUGGAAAGAUAGCCAACUCUAGACUAGAUCAUCUUUGGAAUCAGUAGAAACUGCUCUUUUACAAUUUGCUAAAUUUAGAUUUGCAAGAUGUAUCCAAUUAAAGGUUCUCUAAAUUUAAUGUUUGUAAAUUAUUUAAAAAUCAGUUUCUUAGACUUUUAAGCAAGUCUGGAUGUUUAAGCCUGACAAUAGAUUUAAUACAACAGAUAAUGAGUACAAUAAUAGUAAACCCUGGGCUGUCUCACACAUUAAUGUUGGUCUGAGCCUUUAGAACAAGUGAAAAAUAGACAUGAAAACCUAAGGAAAAGUCAGACAGGGCAGUGCCUAUCUUAAGUGAAGUCUUGGUAUUAAAAUUUCAGAUGAAUGGGAGUAAAAAUCUUAGAGAAUUCUGUCAGUUGGAAUAUGUAAAUAUUUUCCAAAUUUUAUUUAUGUCCCAAAAUACCUUAACCUGUUUCUGUUAAGUAUAGAAUUCUCAAUAUUAAUAUUUUCUAUAAGAGUAUAACAUUAUUUUUAAGAAUAUUAUUCUCUUUCACUUUGUGGGAAGACUUCAGAUUAUGAUCAGGGGAGAUGCUCCUAGGAAAUACUAAAUGAAUGAGAAAGUCUGACACUACCUAGUAUGAUUGAGAGAUAUUAAGAUGCUGUCUUUGGGGAGUUCCUUUGUGGCAUAGCAGGUUAAGGAUCUGGCAUUGUCAUUGCAGCAGCUUGGGCUGCUGUGGUGAGGGUUUGAUCCCUGGCCUGAGAACUUCUACAUGUCACGGGCAUGGCUAAAAACAAACAAAAACCCCCCCAGGGAGUUCCCCUCAUGGCGCAGUGGUUAACGAAUCUGACUAGGAACCAUGAGGUUGCGGGUUCGGUCUCUGCCCUUGCUCAGUGGGUUGACGAUCCGGCGUUGCCGUGAGCUGUGGUGUAGUUUGCAGAUGCGGCUCGGAUCCCGCGUUGCUGUGGCUCUGGCGUAGGCCGGUGGCUACAGCUCUGAUUAGACCCCUAGCCUGGGAACCUCCAUAUGCCAUGGAAGCGGCCCAAAGAAAUAGCAAGAAGACAAAAAAAAAACAAAACAAACAAACAAAAAAAAAACAAAAAAAAAACAAAAAAAACCCCAAACAACUCUAAACAAAAAAGAUGCCAUAUUUAUACUAAUUUGGAGAGUUUGAAUUAUUCUCUCUCUCUAUAUUUUUAAUUCUUUUGAAUGUUUAUCUUUAGCCAAAAAUGCAUUGGAAAUGCACUCUAAGCUAAAGUGAUUUAAAAGGUUUUGAAAUCUGGGGGCUGAUGGUGGUGGUAUAAAUACCACUUAUAGUGUGAAUGUGACUAAUACCUUUUUGCUUUGCUGCUCUGUUUCGUGAGUCAAAAAUUCUUCCUCAUGAUAAUGAUGCUUCAAGCUGGUUAAGUAACAGGUGAAAACCUUUGAAGAGCUUGUGUGAUGAUUGGGACAUACUUCACUGAAGAUCUGUAGAUUUCUGAAAGCUCUGUUCUCUGUUCAAAAUGGUCAAAGGAGUAAGAGAAUCACUAGGCUGACGGUGGUUUGUGCAACUUUGGAUCCUUCAAGUAUUUAUUUUUAAUCUAUGUGUCAGAUAGCCCCCAUGUUAUUGAUAUCUUUUUAUCAGGAAACCAGUUAAGCAUGAUUGGUGGAAAAGAACUAUACACAUUUAAGGAGACCUAUACCUAUAUCAGAAAAUGUAACACUGCAGUCAGGAGUUGGCUAACAUUUUCUAUAAAGGGCUAGAGAGUAAAUAUUUUUAGCUCCAGAGGCCAUAUGAUCUCUGUUAUAACUGCUGAGUUUUGCCGUCAUGGUGUGAAAGCAACCAUAGAUAGUAUGUAAACAUAUAAGCAUAUCUGUGUUCCAGUAAAACCUUGUAUAAAGAGGCAAAAGGGCAGAUUUGGAAUGCAGGUUAUAAUUUGCUCACACCUGUUCUAAGCAGUAGCUUUGUCAUUGCUUAAAUUUUUUAACCUAAUUUUCUCCAGGGAAAGGAUUCACACCAAUAUACAAGACCGCAAAGAACUUAAUAAUCAUUAAAACCGAGAGAAGGGCUCAGACAUAUUGCUAUAGCUGAAAAGCUUCUUUGGGAGAGAGUAAGUGAUUUAUUCUCUAAUCCUGUGUACUUUAUUCAGAGCAAAUAAACAGCUGAGGUGAAAAAUUAAACAAGAAGACAAUGUGACUCUCUCCUUCUUGGAUGAGUCUCAAAGCCCAUCCUCUGAAUGUAAUUACUGAAGAGUUGACUAUAUAUGGAUGAGUUGUCUAUGAACUAAAUAGAAACUAGCUUCAAAAUCCAGGAAAAAAUGUAAUCAGAUUCUAGGACUGAGGCAUCACAAUGCCAAGUCGCAGAU